Felis catus (domestic cat) is the source of this 4061-nucleotide long non-coding RNA. RefSeq lists it as uncharacterized. The transcript is spliced from 5 exons. Lineage: Eukaryota; Metazoa; Chordata; Mammalia; Carnivora; Felidae. The record is from RefSeq and is a predicted model, not a curated record.
CGCGGAGGGAGUGAAGGAGCCCAUCUCGGCCCUUCCGCCUCCCCCUUGGAGCCUGGCUUCGGGGUAGAGAGGAGGAGGCGGGCGCCACGGCUCGGGUCGGCGGCACUGGCUGCGGGCGUCGGGCGAGGGGCGAGGGAGCCCCCCCAGCCCCCGCUGGCGCCCGCAACUCCGGGCUCCGUCCGGGAGCUGCGGCGGCCACACUUCGCGCAGACACGCGCGCGGGGGAGGGGAGGGUGACAGAACCGACCCGGGAAGCUGGCCUUGGGCGCACGGGACCCCUCACCUGCCGAGGCAGGUAGGGAGCCAGUGGCCCACCCGGAUAGACGCGCCACUAGAACGCCUUCAGUUGCUGAGGCAAGGGUCCCUCCCGGGCGUGGAAAAUUCUCGCUUCAACUUGUGGGUCCAGAGUGUGAAUCAAGAAUAACAUGGCAACCGAGCCUGGGGAGCCAUGGACCCAUCCUGAGUCUUGGACCACCAUUCAUGCUGUCUAUCCUCUACCUUAGAAGUGUUCUCGGAGGGAAACAUUGCAUCGUUGAAGUGUCAAGUCGAUUUGAUUACUCUCAGAUCAGCCCUAUGGAGAGACCCGUGUAGCAGGGGACAAAGCCUCCAGUGAACAGCCAUGAGAGCGAGCCUUCUUGGAAAUGGCUACUCUGGCUUCAGCCAUGCCCACAGUGUCUCAGCAGAUGUCCAAGGUUGAGAGAAGCUCUGCUGAAGGACUGUACCCAAGGAGCCUCAUCCAUACCAGAAACUAACUUAGAUGAUGAGAUUCUGGAGUUUGAGCUGACGCAUCAGAUUUUGUGGACCUUAUGAAGAGUGCGUAUAUUUUACAUGUAGGAAGAAUGUAAGUAAUUUGUGGACAGAGGAUGGACUAUGGUAUUUUUAAAUGUAUCCCCUCAAGAGGUAGAGUCCAAUCCCCCCCCUUCAUGCGAGUGUCUGUGGACUUAAUGACUCCUUUCUAAUGACUAGAAUAAAGUAGAAGUGAGAGAGGGAAACUUGUACAACUAGGUUGUGCAAGCCACUGUGCCUCUUUCUCGGUUAUUCUGGGAGAAGUUAGCUGCCAUGGCAUGAGCAGCUGAACGGAGUGGUCCACGUGGCAAGAAACAAGAGUCCUCCAAGAGAGCCAUGUGCGUGAGCUUUCCUGGAAGUCAAUCCUCCAGUUGCAGCCAUGCCUUCAGAUGCCUAGUCCCAGCUCACAGCUUGAUGGCAACCUCGUGAGAGACCCUGGGGCUGGAUCACCCAGCUAAGCUGCUCCCGAAUUCCCCACUCUCAGGAACUGUGUGAGAUAUUAAAUGUUUUCUUAGGAUUCUGCAUUUUGGGUACUCUGCCUGGCAGCAAUAGAUAACUAAUAUAGCACAAGGGGAAAUAUUCUUUUGUAGCAUUUGUCAAAUAAGUUCAAAUAUGAGGCACUUAGCGAACUUCCCGAUCUCAGAUAAUCGUGGCAAAUGAUUGCCCCUUGAGGUACAGGGAAAAAGCCAGUGAGACACAGAGGGAAAGUAAAGAGGAAGAUAAAAGAAGAGAGGACUAAAAGAAGGAAUAAAAGAAAAAAUAGCAAGAGAAGGACACAGGAAAGGUGUCCAUAUUUCCUAGUUUACUCAGGACAGUCCCAGUUUGUAGUGUUGUCCUACUACAAUUAUAACUAGAAUCCCCUUUCACUCUCAAGGGUCUUGGUUUGAAGGAUAAAUUAUAUGACUCUAGCUAGAGGCCAAUAUUUCAGUCUUCCAUUCUCACUGUUUUUUGCCUUAAUAUUCUAUCUUUUUCCCAUGGCUUGUUGCCCCAGCCUCUUUCCAGUCUGUUCUGAUACUAGCCCAGAGUCCUAACUUUCCCACCAAACCACAGCCUGUCACUGGCACCAGCUCCAGGAGUUAGAGGUCACCUCUGUCCACUCCCUCGUGUUCUUUCAUCACAGUAAGCAGUUUGUCACAGCAGCAAAGAGAUCAGUGUAGGAACUAGACAAGGGUCUGGAUCUUGGUUGUACACCUGCUGGGGGAAUUACUUAACUUCUUUAAGCCUCAGAUAUAAGCUUCAGAAUAGAAUAUUAUCUACUAUCUUAUAGGGAUGUGGAAGAUGUUAAUGGGAUUGUGUACAUAAUGUGCUUAGCACAGUGCCUGACAUAUAUAUGCUGGGCACUGUACCUUUGAGCAUUUUAUAUGCAUAAUAUAUUUGACGAAUAUAUGUUAGUUAUAAUCUUAACUUACUGUCACAGAAAACAAAGUCAUCUCAUUGAGGCUGAAGCACCUUAGGUGUCGGGACAUGUAUUUUACUGGGGAACCCUCAAGUACAUGAGUACUUGUCUUUAUUAGUUUUAAUGUUAGAAGGCAGAGACAUGGUUAGGAAAUGUGUUUAGGAGUAAAGUAAAAGCCAGGCAAAGACUAUAUUUGCUUUUCAGGCUUGAUAUGUUUUACUUUGCUCAUUCAUUCAUUCAUUCAUUCAUACAUUUAUCCACUUAUUCUUUCAACAAAGAUAUAUUAGUUAUCUACCAGAUCACACGCACGAUGCUAACCACAGGAUUGAGCAAUGCUUUGCAACAAGAAUAAAGCUGUAUUCCCACUUCUUCCAGGAAAACAUUACAUUUAAAAAAGGUGUUAUGUGGGAAUAUGAGUGACUAGUGAUCUGAAGCCAAAUUAAAAAAUAUAUAUACACACACACACGUAUGUUUUUCAGGGUGACUAGAUUUUAUUUUAAAUUAGUUUUGAGCAAUAGAAGCAAUUUGCUGCUAUAAAAAGGAACAGGUUUUAGCUUUUGACUUGAUUUUUUUUUAAACUAAGAGUGGGAAAAUGCAAAUUAUGUGAAUAUAUAAUUCGGAAUCCUGGUGAUGGGAGCAGAAGGAGCUGACAGGAAGACAGAAUUCUCUCUCUCUUUUUUUUUUUGCCAUAGGCAAUCCUUUUCUCUGUUUUUAGGAAAAAAGAAAACUAGUAGACAGAAAUAGUCCUAGGCACAUGGAUUAUAUAUUUCAUAUGCAUAGCAUAGAAUAUUCAGUAAAGUUAAGUAGGUGUCUGAAAACCAAGAAACUUCAAUACAUGAAGGUGACGACAACAAUUAAAGUAGGAUGCCUUCAACCUAUAUGGUAGGUUUAAGGCAUUUGGCAAUAUCAUUUUGUUUUCAUUCUUAAAAAUAUAUUUUCUUUUCACUAUUUUUAAUUCCCUUUGAUAAUGAGCACCGCUUUAUACUUUUCAAUAGCCCAUGGAUUUUUACCUCUGUGUUCAUCUUCAAGGUCAAGUUUAUGAACAUGCUACAAAUAAGCUAACUGUAAAUGAGUUAGGGGUGUUUUUUAGGAGUAAUAAUAACCAACAUUUAUUAAGUGUUUGUUAAAUUCAAAGCUGUACAGGCCAUUUCCCCUCUAAUUCUCACAACAGCCAUGGGACUCCGCCGCUGUCAUUGUCUUGUCCCACAUGUGAAAAAGGCAUGGAAAGUGGAAGAACCUUGCUUGACUACAAAGGUAGGUGGUGACAGAGUCAGGAUUUGAACCUGGGAGUCUGGCUCGAGACCCAUGCUUAACCACACUAUUUUGAAUGGAUGGGCUAAAUGUUUUUCACCUGUUUAUGGAUAUUUCCCAAUUAGUCUCUUUUGAAAAAGUUAUAUCUUCUUGGGUUCUCUUUUAAGUCCUUGCCCUUGUCUCUGUUCUAUCCAAGGAUCAUUUAACCUGAUAAAUAUGCAAGUCCACACCUGUCUGCAUGAUGCACUGACUCAUUCAUUUAGCUGAAAGGUAGAAACCAAAUUGGUUUUUAAAAAUACAUAGGAAUCUAAUUGAAAAAUUUCAUGAAUCACCUUAAUGAGAAACCAGUAGCAGAAUCUCAAGUACAGAGAGCCUCAGACAAUUGCUUUUUAAAAGCCCUGGUCAACUAUACAUAUUCAUCUUGAAUGAAAACGCCUCUCUAGCAAGACAUUGCGUGACAGUAGUAAUCACUGAAGUUUAGGAUGUGAAAACCAUCUCAAGUGACUUAAAUUAUUGUUCCUUAUUCUUCUGUGUUUGAACAUCAUGAUGUGUCUACUUAGUAUUGAAUAGCGAGGUGGCCAGUAUUCUUUCCAGCACUGGGUAAAUUAAAGACAAACCAAGUUGAUAA